GUGGGGAAUAUUGGGCAAUGGGGGAAACCCUGACCCAGCGACGCCGCGUGAGGGAAGAAGGCCUUAGGGUCGUAAACCUCUGUUGUGUGGGAAGAAGAGCGUGACGGUACCACACGAGGAAGUCCCGGCUAACUACGUGCCAGCAGCCGCGGUAAUACGUAGGGGACGAGCGUUGUCCGGAUUUACUGGGCGUAAAGGGCGCGUAGGCGGUCAUUUAAGUCAGCUGUGAAAUGGUUUGGCUUAACCGGAUCAUGCGGUUGAAACUGGAUGACUGGAGUGCUGGGGAGGCAAGUGGAAUUCCCAGUGUAGCGGUGAAAUGCGUAGAUAUUGGGAAGAACACCGGUGGCGAAGGCGACUUGCUGGCCAGCAACUGACGCUGAGGCGCGAAAGCCAGGGGAGCAAACGGGAUUAGAAACCCCGGUAGUCC
Molecule: ribosomal RNA, 427 nt
Filed under: uncultured bacterium
Lineage: Bacteria
Description: partial 16S ribosomal RNA
Rfam family: Bacterial small subunit ribosomal RNA
Source: RNAcentral